This 448-nucleotide ribosomal RNA is filed under the name uncultured bacterium. RNAcentral's name for it is "bacterial SSU rRNA". It matches the Rfam family "Bacterial small subunit ribosomal RNA", at positions 355 to 825 of the family's 1533-position model. The record is from RNAcentral.
UCGGGAAUUUUGGGCAAUGGGCGAAAGCCUGACCCAGCAACGCCGCGUGAAGGAUGAAAUCUUUCGGGAUGUAAACUUCGGAAGAAUAGGAAGAAUAAAAUGACGGUACUAUUUUUAAGGUCCGGCUAACUACGUGCCAGCAGCCGCGGUAAUACGUAGGGACCAAGCGUUGUUCGGAUUUACUGGGCGUAAAGGGCGCGUAGGCGGCGUAAUAAGUCACUUGUGAAAUCUCCGGGCUUAACUCGGAGCGGCCAAGUGAUACUGUUAGGCUAGAGUGCAGAAAGGGCAAUCGGAAUUCUUGGUGUAGCGGUGAAAUGCGUAGAUAUCAAGAGGAACACCUGAGGCGAAGGCGGGUUGCUAGGCUGACACUGACGCUGAGGCGCGAAAGCUAGGGUAGCAAACGGGAUUAGAUACCCAGGUAGUCCCUGAGCGGGCUGGCAAGGCGCAU